CUACGGGGGGCUGCAGUGGGGAAUAUUGGACAAUGGGCGAAAGCCUGAUCCAGCCAUGCCGCGUGUGUGAAGAAGGCCUUCGGGUUGUAAAGCACUUUCAGUGGGGAAGAAAGCCUUGGGGCUAAUACCCUCGAGGAAGGACAUCACCCACAGAAGAAGCACCGGCUAACUCCGUGCCAGCAGCCGCGGUAAUACGGAGGGUGCGAGCGUUAAUCGGAAUUACUGGGCGUAAAGCGCGCGUAGGCGGUCUGAUAAGCCGGUUGUGAAAGCCCCGGGCUCAACCUGGGAACGGCAUCCGGAACUGUCAGGCUAGAGUGCAGGAGAGGAAGGUAGAAUUCCCGGUGUAGCGGUGAAAUGCGUAGAGAUCGGGAGGAAUACCAGUGGCGAAGGCGGCCUUCUGGACUGACACUGACGCUGAGGUGCGAAAGCGUGGGUAGCAAACAGGAUUAGAUACCCCAGUAGUC
Molecule: ribosomal RNA, 464 nt
Filed under: Vreelandella stevensii
Lineage: Bacteria; Pseudomonadati; Pseudomonadota; Gammaproteobacteria; Oceanospirillales; Halomonadaceae
Description: partial 16S ribosomal RNA
Rfam family: Bacterial small subunit ribosomal RNA
Source: RNAcentral